Gadus morhua (Atlantic cod) is the source of this 119-nucleotide ribosomal RNA. Lineage: Eukaryota; Metazoa; Chordata; Actinopteri; Gadiformes; Gadidae. The record is from Ensembl.
GCUUACGGCCAUACCACCUUAGGCACGCCCGAUCUCGUCUGAUCUCGGAAGUUAAGCAGGGUCGGGCCUGGUUAGUACUUGGAUGGGUGACCGCCUGGGAAUACCAGGUGCUGUAAGCA